GACGAACGCUGGCGGCGUGCCUAACACAUGCAAGUCAACUUGACUGAAGGAGCAAUCUGACAGUAGAGUGGCGCAAGGGUGCGUAACGCGUAAGUAACUUGCCCAAGGUAAGGAAUAACGUCGAGAAAUCGGCGCUAAUACCUCAUAAUGCAGCGGAUCCGCAUGGAUAUGUUGUUAAAGGUUUACCGCCUUGGGAUAGGCUUGCGUCUGAUUAGCUAGUUGGUGUGGUAACGGCACACCAAGGCUACGAUCAGUAACUGGUCUGAGAGGAUGAUCAGUCACACUGGAACUGAGACACGGUCCAGACUCCUACGGGAGGCAGCAGUGAGGAAUAUUGGGCAAUGCUCGAAAGAGUGACCCAGCAACGCCGCGUGGAGGAUGAAGGUAUUCUAUAUCGUAAACUCCUGUGAGAGCAGACGAAAGACAGAUUAUAAUCUGGAUGACUGUAUGCUCAGAGGAAGCCCCGGCUAAC
Molecule: ribosomal RNA, 472 nt
Filed under: uncultured bacterium
Lineage: Bacteria
Description: bacterial SSU rRNA
Rfam family: Bacterial small subunit ribosomal RNA
Source: RNAcentral